GAUGAACGCUGGCGGCGUGCCUAAUACAUGCAAGUCGAGCGAACAGACGAGGAGCUUGCUCCUCUGACGUUAGCGGCGGACGGGUGAGUAACACGUGGAUAACCUACCUAUAAGACUGGGAUAACUUCGGGAAACCGGAGCUAAUACCGGAUAAUAUAUUGAACCGCAUGGUUUAAUAGUGAAAGACGGUUUUGCUGUCACUUAUAGAUGGAUCCGCGCCGCAUUAGCUAGUUGGUAAGGUAACGGCUUACCAAGGCAACGAUGCGUAGCCGACCUGAGAGGGUGAUCGGCCACACUGGAACUGAGACACGGUCCAGACUCCUACAGGAGGCAGCAGUAGGGAAUCUUCCGCGAUGGGCGAAAGCCUGACGGAGCAACGCCGCGUGAGUGAUGAAGGUCUUCGGAUCGUAAAACUCUGUUAUUAGGGAAGAACAAAUGUGUAAGUAACUAUGCACGUCUUGACGGUACCUAAUCAGAAAGCCACGGCUAACUACGUG
RNAcentral lists this ribosomal RNA (497 nucleotides) under uncultured bacterium. RNAcentral's name for it is "partial 16S ribosomal RNA". It matches the Rfam family "Bacterial small subunit ribosomal RNA", at positions 28 to 507 of the family's 1533-position model. The record is from RNAcentral.